RNAcentral lists this ribosomal RNA (430 nucleotides) under Bacillus sp. IDA627. Its description in RNAcentral is "bacterial SSU rRNA". It matches the Rfam family "Bacterial small subunit ribosomal RNA", at positions 958 to 1392 of the family's 1533-position model. Lineage: Bacteria; Bacillati; Bacillota; Bacilli; Caryophanales; Bacillaceae. The record is from RNAcentral.
AACGCGAAGAACCUUACCAGGUCUUGACAUCCUCUGACGGUCUAGAGAUAGAUCUUUCCUUCGGGGACAGCGGUGACAGGUGGUGCAUGGUUGUCGUCAGCUCGCGUCGUGAGAUGUUGGGUUAAGUCCCGCAACGAGCGCACCCUUGAUCUUAGUUGCCAGCAUUCAGUUGGGCACUCUAAGGUGACUGCCGGUGAUAAACCGGAGGAAGGUGGGGAUGACGUCAAAUCAUCAUGCCCCUUAUGACCUGGGCUACACACGUGCUACAAUGGACGGUACAGAGGGUCGCAACCCCGCGAGGUGAGCAAAUCCCAUAAAACCGUUCUCAGUUCGGAUUGUAGGCUGCAACUCGCCUACAUGAAGCCGGAAUCGCUAGUAAUCGUGGAUCAGCAUGCCACGGUGAAUACGUUCCCGGGCCUUGUACACACCG